Molecule: long non-coding RNA, 2419 nt
Filed under: Oryctolagus cuniculus (rabbit)
Lineage: Eukaryota; Metazoa; Chordata; Mammalia; Lagomorpha; Leporidae
Description: lncRNA (ENSOCUG00000039594.1)
Source: RNAcentral
GCUUAAAAAAUAAAAAAUAAAAAAUUAAAAAAAAAUAAGACUUUAACUGCAGUUCCAAAGCUUCUCUAACCCAAAAAUUACAGUACCAAAUGAUUGACUCAGGAUUGUUUUUCCCAUAUUGAUAUGCUGGCAAUAUAGGAUGGUAUGUAAUGGACAGAACUGAUGCAGAUGGUUGAAUGCGCUUGUAAUAUAUGCUAAAAUAUGGAAAAGGAAAAAAAUCUCACAAGUUCUUUUGGAACUUGUUUCAAGCCAAAAACUCUCAAGAAAGCAAAUUGCACCUCAGCUGGAUUGAUUUCCAAAUGCUAGCAUGUACUGUAUGGGAGGAUGAUCCAGAUGUUUCAAAGAGAAUUUCUCUUAGUUUAUUUAUUUAUUUAUUUUUAAACAUUUUUAUAAGGUGAACAAAUAUAAUGUAUUUCAUAUAUACGGAUUUAGGAACACAGUGAUACUUCUCACCCUAUCCUCCCUCCUGCUAAUACUCCCACGCUUCCUCCUCCCUCCUCUAUUUUUUCCUUUCUUAAUUUUUACAAUGAUCUCCUUUCAGUUUAUUUAUUUAUUUAUUUAUUUUGACAGGCAGAGUGGACAGUGAGAGAGAGACAGAGAGAAAGGUCUUCCUUUUUGACGUUGGUUCACCCUCCAAUGGCCACCUCGGCCGGCACGCUGCGGCCGGCGCACCACGCUGAUCCGAUGGCAGGAGCCAGGUGCUUCUCCUGGUCUCCCAUGGGGUGCAGGGCCCAAGCACUUGGGCCAUCCUCCACUGCACUCCCAGGCCACAGCAGAGAGCUGGCCUGGAAGAGGGGCAACCGGGACAGAAUCCGGCGCCCUGACCGGGACUAGAACCCAGUGUUCUGGCGCCGCAAGGCGUAGGAUUAGCCUAGUGAGCCGCAGCGCCGGCCUCAGUUUAUUUUUAAUUCAUAAGAUUAACCCUAUACUAUGUAAAGAAUUCCACAAAUAGUAAGAAGAAAAAACAGUUCUCAAUGGUAGAGACAAGUGCUAUAAACAAUCAUUGAAUCUCAAAAUAUCAAUUUCACUCCUAUACAUUACAUUUUUUUUUUUUUUGGUAUUCUAUUAGUUAACACAGAUCAGGGAAAACAUACUGUAUUUGUGUUUUUGGGAUUGGCUAAUUUUAAUAAGAAUAAUGGUUUCCACUUACAUCCAACUUUGUAAAAGACAGAAUUUCAUUCGUUUAUCUGGCUGAGUAUUAUUCCAUCAAACACACACACAUAUCACAAUUACUUUAUACAGGCAUCAGCUGAUGGACAUCUAGAUUGAUACAUAUCUUAGCUAUUGUGAAUUGAGCUACAAAAAACAUAGGUGCACAGAUAACUUUUUCAUAAACUUAUUUCAUUUCAUGUGGGUAAAUUCCUAGGCGAGGGAUACCUGGAUCAUAUGGUAGAUCUAUUUUCAGCUUUUUGAAGUCUCUCCAUACUGUCUUCCACAGUGGCCAUUCUAGUUUACAUUCCCACUAAUAGCUGAUUAGGGUACCUUUUUCCUCACAUUCUCACCAGCAUUUAUUGUUUGUUGAUUUCUGUAUGAAAGCCAUUUUAACAGGGGUGAUAUGAAAAACUCACUGUGGUUUUUGUUUGCAUUUCCCCAAUUUUUAGUGAUUUUGAGCAUUUUUUCUUGGGUCUGUUAGCCAUUUGAAUUUCCUCUUUUGAAAAAUGCCUUUUCAACUCCUUUACCCAUUUUUUAACUGGAUUAUUUAUUUUGGUGUUGUUGAGUUUCUUGAGCUCUUUAUAAAUUCAAUAUAUUAAUACUUUAUUAGUUGCACAGAUUGCAAAUAUUUUCUCCCAUUCAUUCCAUUGCCUCUUUACUUUGCUGAGUGUUUCCAUUGCAGUGUUGAAGCAUCUCAGUUUGAUGUAAUCUCAUCUGUCUAUGUUUGCUUUGAUUGUCUGCCUUAUGAAGUCUUUUCCAAGAAGUCUUGGCCUAUACCAAUAUCAUGUAAGGUUUCUCCAAUGUUCUCCUCCAGUAAUUUGAUGGUAUCAGGUCAUAGAUUGAGAUCCUUGAUACAUUUUGAAUUGAUUUUUUAUAAGGUGUAAGGUAGGGGUCUUGCUUCAUACUUCUGCAUGCAGAGAUUCAAUUUUCUCAGAACCAUUUGUUGAAGAGAUUGUCCUUGUUCCAGGGAUUGAUUUUAACUCCUUUGUUAUAGUUGGUUGUAGACAUGUGGAUUGACUUCUGGAGUUUCUAUUCUAUUCUAUUUGUCUACAUAUUUUUAUGCAGACAGUUUUAUUAUAACUACUUGUAGUAUAUAUUGAAAUCUGAUAUUGUGAUGCCUCCAGCUUUGUUCUUGCUUUUAAAGAUUACUUUAGCCAUUCAGAGUCUCUUGUGUUUCCACAUGAAUUUACAUCAUUCUUUUGUACAUGUGAGAAGAAUUUCAUUGGUAUUUUGAUUGGGAUCACAAUAAAAAGAAUCCAGAAUUUCA